RNAcentral lists this ribosomal RNA (524 nucleotides) under uncultured bacterium. Its description in RNAcentral is "partial 16S ribosomal RNA". It matches the Rfam family "Bacterial small subunit ribosomal RNA", at positions 28 to 523 of the family's 1533-position model. The record is from RNAcentral.
GACGAACGCUGGCGGCGUGCCUAAUACAUGCAAGUCGAACGCUUCUUUUCCCACCGGAGCUUGCUCCACCGGGAAAAGAGGAGUGGCGAACGGGUGAGUAACACGUGGGUAACCUGCCCAUCAGAAGGGGAUAACACUUGGAAACAGGUGCUAAUACCGUAUAACAAUCGAAACCGCAUGGUUUCGUUUUGAAAGGCGCUUUACGGUGCCACUGAUGGAUGGACCCGCGGUGCAUUAGCUAGUUGGUGAGGUAACGGCUCACCAAGGCCACGAUGCAUAGCCGACCUGAGAGGGUGAUCGGCCACAUUGGGACUGAGACACGGCCCAAACUCCUACGGGAGGCAGCAGUAGGGAAUCUUCGGCAAUGGACGAAAGUCUGACCGAGCAACGCCGCGUGAGUGAAGAAGGUUUUCGGAUCGUAAAACUCUGUUGUUAGAGAAGAACAAGGGUGAGAGUAACUGUUCACCCCUUGACGGUAUCUAACCAGAAAGCCACGGCUAACUACGUGCCAGCCGCCGCGGUAA